CACGCCCCGGAUUUCACGUUCCCCGGGCACGCCGACAGAUCCGCCGUAUACAAAGAAAUUUUUCCUGUAUACGAAGCGAUAGCUGUACCUGUAAAUCAAACACUACUACGAACAGUAGUAGAGAGCUGCUAGAGAAAACUGAAGCUAAAUAAAACAGAGUUUCAUAUACAUAGUUCAGAUCCCAAAUACAGAGCUACUCGCACUGGCGAGUUAAGUCAACUAUGUACACAAACUCGAAACAAAACAUCUACCUGCAGUAGGGCACCUCUAGCUCAGCACGUCGGGUAGGGCUCUAACUCGCGACGCCCUUGCCUCGAUCGUGAUCCACGGACGGUGCAGCAGCCGGAACCUGUGGCUCUGCAAAAACAUAGGUAACAACUGGGCGUGAGAACUACUGUAAAAACAAGUAGUCCUCAGUGGGUACCGCCCAAAACAACAUCGGUCACCCACUAAGUCUACAGAAGGGAGCAAGGAUAGAAGGAAAGCAGGAAGCAUACUCUACCGCUAUCAUCCACUACACUAUCAUGCUCUACACUAACCAACUGUAGGAAAUGUCAAAUCUGACCCAAUCCAAUCCGGACUGUAGACGUACCCGUCCCCGGGACUGUGAACACACCCGUCCCUGCCCCGUUGCGACUAUCAGGCUCUAUCCACACUAACUGGUCCGUGGAGAGCAAGUCCAACUGGCAUGAGCGACACCAACGCGAAAGCACAAAGCCUGACUCCGGAGUGGCACUCGUGGGCGCUACCCAACCGAGUAUGCAGCGUAUCUCUGUCGAGCUCAAUCAGGCUCCAACUAGCCAAAGUCAAGUAAUCGACUCAAACUGGUCUAACAACCAACAGGUAACGUGCCCUCGGCACAAUCUGACGCCAAAAAGGCGAUACGGGUCCACCGUCAACUCUGACGGCACCCAACAGUCCGAAACGACCUGAACGACCCUGUAAAAAUCCACUCGGCGAACCAGCACGAGUGUAAAUACAUUCUAAACUACCUGGAGUACUCGUCUCGAAGAAACUGCGACAGUACAAUUUUCUAACGGCUCCUAGAGCUAAAUCAGGUAGUUAAAACUGGUGACAGGUCCAAAUCGCAGGUUUUCUCCUAAUUCAAUUUCCAAGUCCAACAUGUAUAAUCUAUUUACUUGAUAAAAUAUGCUCGAAAAUUCAGAUUUUACAUUCUAACAAUAAUCCAUGAAUUUGAGCUAACAACUAUUGUAGAAAUCACGAUUUAUACAUGUCGACUAAUAACACUUAGGAGUAAAACCGAUGUAACCCACCUAAAAUGCUAAUCCCUGGCAGCGAAGGACUCCCCCUGGUGUAGAGCAACCUGCUGGAUCACCCGGAACCCGCCGAGUACAGAAAUCGCCUAAGCCCGAGCUCUACGCAACAAAAUUCACCAAUUCAGUCCAGAAAUCACAGCAGUGAGGUACAACAGGGAUUCGACCAAGCUAACCUUCACCAAAUCCAGCAAGUAAGGACUUCGUGGAUUCCUCUCGCAGUCCUGAAUCCAACGAGCCAAGUCUCGUCGCAAUCCGAUGCUCCUACGUCGAGAACGAGCCAAAAUACAAACAGUCGACGGUGAAAUUCAGCAAACAACGUCUCUUCGAGUUGAAGUAGUAAGAAUUUGCCCAAAAAUCCAAAGAAAUGCUGAAUACUCACCUCGACAACACCAAGUACCUGUGUGACAGCAAGGACGGCGAAAAUCUACGCUCGCCCAGCCUCCUCGUGCUACCACGGUGACAAACACGAGCUCGAACGGUUCCGCGGCGCGACGUCGGCGACGGACUCUCCAACCGAGCUCACCACGGCAACCGAGUCUAGAGAGAGGAAGGAGAAGAGAGAGCAACAAGAACUCACUCUCUCUCUCAGCACAAGGCUAAAUAGAGAGGGAGUGGGUUGGUGAUACAAACGAGGUGAAAAUUUACUCAAAUGCCCCCUCACCUACCCUGGUGUACCGGUACACGGGAUCGCGUACCGGUACAGGAAGCUAACCCGAGAGCAGUACGCGCUCAGCCAGUAUAGCGUACCGGUACACCUCGCUGGCUGUACCGGUACAGCCAGCAGGAAAAUCUGCUAUUUUGCAGAUUUCUUCGCUGAAGGCUGCUCUCGCG
This 2108-nucleotide long non-coding RNA is filed under the name Ananas comosus (pineapple). RNAcentral's name for it is "long non-coding RNA (ACOM_LNC000460)". The record is from RNAcentral. Lineage: Eukaryota; Viridiplantae; Streptophyta; Magnoliopsida; Poales; Bromeliaceae.